Molecule: ribosomal RNA, 452 nt
Filed under: uncultured bacterium
Lineage: Bacteria
Description: SSU rRNA
Rfam family: Bacterial small subunit ribosomal RNA
Source: RNAcentral
AGAGCGAACGCUGGCGGCAGGCUUAACACAUGCAAGUCGAGCGGAUGUAGCAAUACAUCAGCGGCAGACGGGAUAGUAACACGUGGGAACGCGCCCUUUGGUUCGGAAUAACUCAGGGAAACUUGAGCUAAUACCGGAUAAGCCCUUACGGGGAAAGAUUUAUCGCCAAAGGAACGGCCCGCGUCCGAUUAGCUAGUUGGUGAGGUAAUGGCUCACCAAGGCGACGAUCGGUAGCUGGUCUGAGAGGAUGACCAGCAUCACUGGGACUGAGACACGGCCCAGACUCCUACGGGAGGCAGCAGUGGGGAAUCUUGCACAAUGGGCGAAAGCCUGAUGCAGCGACGCCGCGUGAGGGAUGACUGCCUUCGGGUUGUAAACCUCUUCAGCAGGGACGAAGCGAAAGUGACGGUACCUGCAGAAGAAGCACCGGCCAACUACGCGCCAGCAGCCGC